UUCAGAUGAUGACAGAAAAAGAAGACGAAGAAGGGGCGAAAGAAAAGAUCUUUCUGGCUUAUUCUCUGAGGGGAGUUCCUCUGGUGUAACGGUGACAGACAGCAACAGGAUGGUUACUGUGUCACCAGGGACACGGACACAAGCGAGGAGAGAGACGAGGGCAUGGAGUGCAAUCUGGGAUGAACACUGACCUGGAAUGGAUCAGCUGUCCGAUAUUAUCAAGAUGUCUUGCAGCUGUAUUUGUGUUUGUGUUGUAUUUGUGGAUGUGUGUGUGUGGCUUGUGUUUAUGUUUGUGUGUGUUUUGGGGUAGGGAGGCUGGGAGUGGCGGUGUUACUCCCCUGCAUUGUAGCUGCAAACUGCCAAGGUCAAUAUCCAUAGUCGGAAUGCACAAGUGUUUUGCCUUGUCGCAAAGUUUUAGGGAGGACACAACAACGCCGGACAUGAAUACUUGCAAAGAAAAAUCACUUUAAACAAUACAAGGGGGAUGCUGUCUUGCUAGGUUCUUUGGCAGGUGUUGCUCAAAACAAAGUCAAACCCUUACAGUGUUUAUCAAUGGUCAACGAUACAGUCUUUGUAAGUUAUUGCACAAAGAUGGAAACAAUAAUUAAUCUUUGGAGUGUAUCUAUUGUUGUAAAUCUGUGAUGCGCUGAAUUAUUCCUUAGAACUGCAUUUUUUCAAGCAGACACAAACAUAAACAUUCAAAAUAAUGUUCUAAUAAACACAUUCCACAUUCAGAUGUCAAAGUGCAUGAAGCCGUGGAGAAACACACACACACACAUAUCAGGGUCCAUAUAUUGUCAAAUAUGUAUCUGUUUUUCGGUCUCCAAAUUAAUAUAGCAUAAUGUGCAAUGUGGCUGGAAUCAUAUAUGGUUUUCCAGUUUUAAAAUAAAUACAUAGAAUAGUUCCAAUAACGUUUUAA
Molecule: long non-coding RNA, 919 nt
Organism: Sinocyclocheilus anshuiensis
Lineage: Eukaryota; Metazoa; Chordata; Actinopteri; Cypriniformes; Cyprinidae
Exons: 3
Source: RefSeq, a predicted model, not a curated record